This is a non-coding RNA of Nylanderia fulva, 1919 nucleotides long. NCBI's taxonomy places the organism in Eukaryota, Metazoa, Arthropoda, Insecta, Hymenoptera, Formicidae. The record is from RefSeq and is a predicted model, not a curated record.
CGCUGUCAGAAACGUAUCACCGGAAUAUCAUCGGACACUCGGUGGAGGGUCGACACGACGAGUACAAACAAUCACGCGGCAAUUUUUUAAUCGAUUGUACUCACGUCUAUUAUUUACAUGUCAAGCUUAACGUAAUAAUAUCACGUACAUACGUUCUCGGCCUGUAUUCACUCUCCCAACGAAACGCGACCACGCCAUCUUACUGCCGGCCAAUGCUGCCAACCUGUCAAAUUGCACGCUUGUGAUGCCUAGACUGUCGCAGCGAACUUCGCGCUCUUUAUCGCGAAGUGCUCGCGCACUUAUAGUACAUUUCCUGUCGACCUGGCUGAGAAAAUGUUUCAUAAAAGACGUGAAAGAGAAUUUUUCCAAAGUGCUCUUACUUUACUCAUCAAUCUGCGAUGAGUGUCACAUUUGCAUUCCAUCAAAAGGGAUUGAAAGCAUCUACAGAGAAUUGUGCGGUGAAAAGUUUUAACGCGAAUCCUUUGACGCAAUAUUAUAAGAUAAUUCGAAGUUGUAAAAUUGUGAACCGCCGACGAGACAUUUUUAAUCGCAUUUGUCGUAAUUAUGCCAUGUGUGAAUAAAAUCGCGGGAUGCGCGCAUGCGCAGUCGCCAUGUUUUAUUUCCCAUCGCGCCGCGACCGAAUGCAGUCGAAGUGUAGCACCUCCGCGAUUUUCCUUGUAAAAGGGGAUAUCGUGUUGAAAAAACACAUCGGGAAUGUCGAACAAAGUGUCGGGCGAGUGUCGCGUCGUGUUAAUUAAUGCGGGCGAACGCAAUUAGCGAACAUUAGUCAUAAUUUUCGUGCUCGAGCAACCGCGAGUGCUUUUUCGGGUUUUUUGGUGAGACGGCUCGAAGGGAAAAUAGCGCCAAUUCCGGGUAUUCUAGGGCAUUCAGCAGGAGGCUGGUAUACGGAAGGCAAUACUUAUCAGGCGGGUCGUCCCGACGAGCCGGCUUCUAAUCUGGGCAUACAGCGAAAAUUACAUCUUCUUGCACAGGAGAGCCGGUCGACAUCUGCCUAGAGAGAGCAACGACAACGCGUAAAAUUUGGGAGUGCCAUUAAAAAUAUCGCGCGUAUGAGUGCGGGAGUGCCGUUAAAAGUAUCGCGCGUAUGAGUGCGGGAGUGCCGUUAAAAGUAUCGCGCGUAUGAGUGCGGGAGUGUCGUUAAAAGUAUCGUGCGUGUUAAUCAACGAUCCUGACAACCUGAGAGGAGGAGAAGGCCUAGGAGAGGCAUCGGGCACCGGCAGAGCAACCCUAAGAUAACGUAUAACUUGAACAUCAACUACUGAAUAUCAACCGCUGUUGUGCAUCGAUCACGGAGAGAUCGAAGGGGUUGAUACCUCCAUGCGUCGCAGUCGUUCGAAUGUAAAGGUUGAAAUCGGGCACGAUCGCCAGCAAAUGAUCCUCCAAAAAUCUUUCCAACUCGUAUACAACGUGAGGAAGGGGAAAAGAUGGCGGCAAGAUAAUUCCGGACAAGCUGGAAGCGAUGAAAUCGGAGUGGCAGGUGGCAUAAUGGGCACGUAUGGUCCGCAUGAUUUGCAUACCAAUGGUUACCGACGCGAUAUCGAUCGUUUGCCGAACGGCAGAGAAGGGACCAAUUAAGGAUACUACCCAUUUCCACAGCUGUGAGUCGAGAUAUACUCUCGCGCUUACUUCAUGAAAUACUUCUUUAACUCCCGCACAAGCGCUGCCUUGGCGCCAAACACUUGUCGCUUCAUGAUUCAGGAGCUAUCUUGGAAGAAGGGAAAGAAACGUAGAAAGAAGAGGCGAGAGACGGGGAUGGGACGACGAACUGAAGACGAGAGAAGAGAGAGAGAGAGAGAGCGACAUUGAAGAGUAGAGGGGAGAAGAAAGGGUAAAACGAUAAGGGGCAAGUUGAAGGAGGAGAGAACGAACGAAGAGGUGUAGAUCCCGAAGGGCAGAAC